RNAcentral lists this ribosomal RNA (253 nucleotides) under uncultured bacterium. RNAcentral's name for it is "partial 16S ribosomal RNA". It matches the Rfam family "Bacterial small subunit ribosomal RNA", at positions 524 to 776 of the family's 1533-position model. The record is from RNAcentral.
UACGAAGGGGGCUAGCGUUGCUCGGAAUUACUGAGCGUAAAGGGCGCGUAGGCGGUCCUGAUCGUCGGAUGUGAAAGGCCUGGGCUCAACCUGGGAACUGCAUCCGAUACGGCGGGACUGGAGUGUGGGAGAGGUUGGUGGAAUUCCCAGUGUAGAGGUGAAAUUCGUAGAUAUUGGGAAGAACACCGGUGGCGAAGGCGGCCAACUGGACCACAACUGACGCUGAGGCGCGAAAGCGUGGGGAGCAAACAGG